This 320-nucleotide small nuclear RNA is filed under the name Heterocephalus glaber (naked mole-rat). RNAcentral describes it as "7SK RNA". It matches the Rfam family "7SK RNA". Rfam says of the family: 7SK was discovered as an abundant small nuclear RNA in the mid-70s but a possible function has only recently been suggested. Two independent studies have found that 7SK RNA binds the CDK9/cyclin T complex (known as elongation factor P-TEFb). Lineage: Eukaryota; Metazoa; Chordata; Mammalia; Rodentia; Bathyergidae. The record is from Rfam by way of RNAcentral.
GGAUGUGAGGGCAAUCUGGCUGCGACAUCUGUCACCCCAUUGAUCGCCAGGGUGGAUUCGGCUGAUCUGGCUGGCUAGGCGGGUGUCCCCUCCUUCCCUCACCGCUCCAUGUGUGUCCCUCCCGAAGCUGCAGCUCGGUCGAAGAGGAUGACCACCCCCGAUAGGGGAGGGCCGUCUCCUGGGUGAAGGGUAUGUAUACAAGUAGCUGCGCUCCCCUGCUAGAACCUCCAAACAAGCUCUCAAAAUCACUCAAGGAUAAUCUACAGCAGGAGAGGAAACUACGUUCACCUUAGCCAGUUCUGACUUUAUUUUUCAUGGUU